RNAcentral lists this ribosomal RNA (253 nucleotides) under uncultured bacterium. Its description in RNAcentral is "partial 16S ribosomal RNA". It matches the Rfam family "Bacterial small subunit ribosomal RNA", at positions 524 to 776 of the family's 1533-position model. The record is from RNAcentral.
UACAGAGGGUGCAAGCGUUGUUCGGAAUUAUUGGGCGUAAAGCGCGUGUAGGCGGCCAGGUAGGUCCGAUGUGAAAUCUGGAGGCUCAACCUCCAGCGGUCAUUGGAAACCAUCUGGCUAGAGUCCGGAAGAGGAGAGUGGAAUUCCUGGUGUAGCGGUGAAAUGCGCAGAUAUCAGGAAGAACACCCGUGGCUAAGGCGGCUCUCUAGUACGGUACUGACGCUGAGACGCGAAAGCGUGGGGAGCGAACAGG